RNAcentral lists this ribosomal RNA (778 nucleotides) under uncultured Methylococcus sp. RNAcentral's name for it is "bacterial SSU rRNA". It matches the Rfam family "Bacterial small subunit ribosomal RNA", at positions 23 to 804 of the family's 1533-position model. The record is from RNAcentral. Lineage: Bacteria; Pseudomonadati; Pseudomonadota; Gammaproteobacteria; Methylococcales; Methylococcaceae.
CCUAUGAACGCUGGCGGCAUGCCUAACACAUGCAAGUCGAACGGUAACAGGCCUUCGGGCGCUGACGAGUGGCGAACGGGUGAGUAACGCGUAGGAAUAUACCUUUUUGUGGGGGACAACUCGGGGAAACUCGAGCUAAUACCGCAUGUGCUCUUUGGAGUAAAGCUGGGGACCUUCGGGCCUGGUGCAAAAAGAUUAGCCUGCGUCCGAUUAGCUAGUUGGUAGGGUAAAGGCCUACCAAGGCGACGAUCGGUAGCUGGUCUGAGAGGAUGAUCAGCCACACUGGGACUGAGACACGGCCCAAACUCCUACGGGAGGCAGCAGUGGGGAAUAUUGGACAAUGGGCGCAAGCCUGAUCCAGCAAUGCCGCGUGUGUGAAGAAGGCCUGAGGGUUGUAAAGCACUUUCAGUGGGGAGGAAGGCUCAAGCUUUAAUAGAGUUUGGGAUUGACGUUACCUACAGAAGAAGCACCGGCUAACUCCGUGCCAGCAGCCGCGGUAAUACGGGGGCUGCAAGCGUUAAUCGGAAUUACUGGGCGUAAAGCGUGCGUAGGUGGUUCUGCAAGUUGGCUGUGAAAGCCCCGGGCUCAACCUGGGAUGGUCAGUCAAAACUGCAAGACUAGAGUACAAUAGAGGGGUGUGGAAUUUCCGGUGUAGCGGUGAAAUGCGUAGAGAUCGGAAGGAACACCAGUGGCGAAGGCGCACCCUGGAUUGAUACUGACACUGAGGUACGAAAGCGUGGGGAGCAAACAGGAUUAGAUACCCUGUAGUCACGCCGUA